Molecule: transfer RNA, 76 nt
Filed under: Coriobacteriales bacterium
Lineage: Bacteria; Bacillati; Actinomycetota; Coriobacteriia; Coriobacteriales
Description: tRNA-Phe
Rfam family: tRNA
About the family: Transfer RNA (tRNA) molecules are approximately 80 nucleotides in length.
Source: RNAcentral
GGUCGGGUAGCUCAGUUGGUAGAGCAGAGGACUGAAAAUCCUCGUGCCGGCGGUUCAAGUCCGUCCCCGACCACCA